CUCACGGUUGGCGUCAAGAUGGCGGACGAAGAGGAAGGCAAAGGAUAUCGGUGGGAGACCGAAUAUGAGAGAACUUGGGAAGCCAUUCAAGAGGAUGAGUCUGGCCUGCUGCAGCCCAGCGUGCUGGACUUUGUCCACAGGGCCAAGCGCAAACAGAUGCUGGCCAAGAAAAAUGUUCGACUCGGGAUGAUGAGACACUUGUACGUUGUUGUAGACUUCUCUGAGUCCAUGUCUGAACCGGAUCUAAAGCCUACACGCCUCAUCAGCACACUGAAGAUGCUGGAGCUCUUUGUGGAGGAGUUCUUUGACCAGAAUCCCAUUAGUAAUGUUGGUGUCAUUUCAACAUGUAACAAGAGGGCACAGAAGCUUUGUGAAUUGGCAGGAAAUGCUGGGAAGGUGGUAGAAGCGCUACAGUCUAGCAAGACGCAGGUUCCUUCGGGAGAACCCUCUCUGCAGAACUCUCUCGAGCUUGCAGCUGACGUCCUACGGCACCUGCCCGUGCACACCAGUCGGGAAGUAUUGGUCAUCUUUGGAAGCUUGACCACUUGUGAUCCUGGCAACAUUCAUACAACCAUUGAGACCAUGCGCAAGUGCAACAUUCGUUGCAGUGUUGUUGGCUUGGCAGCUGAAGUUCAUGUGUGCUGCAAACUUACCAAAAUGACUGGAGGCACGUACAAUGUUAUCUUGGACGAGAACCAUUUCAAGGACAUUCUCUUCCAGCAUGCCAUUCCUCCACCUGUCACGGGCAAUGCAGAGUCAUCACUGAUCAGAAUGGGAUUUCCCUACCACCGGACGGAGACUGAAGGCAAACCAUCUCUUUGUUUCUGCCACCUGGACAGUGAAAACCCUUCGGAUGGACUGAGCAAGGGCGGCUACUUCUGUCCGCAGUGCAGUGGAAAAUACUGCUCUUUACCUGUGGAAUGCAAAGUCUGCAGCUUGACUUUGGUGUCAGCGCCGCACCUUGCACGUUCCUACCACCAUCUUUUUGCCCUGGAGGCCUUUGAAGAGGUACCCUGGGACUCGCUACCAGCAGACACACCUGUAAUCUGCUUCUCCUGUCAAUUGUCCAUAUCAGACAAACAUGUAUACCGUUGUGUGAAGUGCAAGGAAAACUUCUGCCUAGAGUGUGAUCUUUUCAUUCACGACUCUCUGCACACUUGCCCUGGGUGUGCAAGCAGGUUGCCACCACCCGAGACACCCUCCUGACAUUGAAUAAGGGUUCCCAAAGGAGUAGUGUGAGUGUUGCUAUGUCAAGUUGAUGUGCAUCCCGUUCGUGACCUGGAAGUACUACCUAUGUGCGCAGCAUUAAAGAAAGGAAAGCAUCUGAAUUCAUCCCUCGCCGGCAUUCGUGACACAUUAACCAUCUGGCUUCCUGACAGAACUGCCUAGUAGAGCUGCCUGGCAUUACGGUUCUGAUCAUCAGCUGCGUCUGGUUCAAGCCGAGGCCCAUGUCCGAGGAGAGGCAACGCGGCACUGUUUUUGUUAAUUGUCAUGUUGACACUGAAACAUGUCAUUAAAACCCGAUUUUGUUAGCCGUA
Molecule: RNA transcript, 1538 nt
Organism: Dermacentor albipictus
Lineage: Eukaryota; Metazoa; Arthropoda; Arachnida; Ixodida; Ixodidae
Gene: Ssl1
Gene name: general transcription factor IIH subunit 2 Ssl1
Source: RefSeq, a predicted model, not a curated record